UAACUGAAGAGUUUGAUCAUGGCUCAGAUUGAACGCUGGCGGCAGGCCUAACACAUGCAAGUCGAGCGGAAACGAUGGUAGCUUGCUACCAGGCGUCGAGCGGCGGACGGGUGAGUAACGCGUGAGAAUCUGCCCAUUUGUGGGGGAUAACUCGGGGAAACUCGAGCUAAUACCGCAUAAUCCCUACGGGGGAAAGCAGGGGACCUUCGGGCCUUGUGCAGAUGGAUGAGCUCGCGUCGGAUUAGCUUGUUGGUGAGGUAAAGGCUCACCAAGGCGACGAUCCGUAGCUGGUCUGAGAGGAUGAUCAGCCACACCGGGACUGAGACACGGCC
RNAcentral lists this ribosomal RNA (332 nucleotides) under Pseudomonadales bacterium. RNAcentral describes it as "bacterial SSU rRNA". It matches the Rfam family "Bacterial small subunit ribosomal RNA", at positions 1 to 331 of the family's 1533-position model. Lineage: Bacteria; Pseudomonadati; Pseudomonadota; Gammaproteobacteria; Pseudomonadales. The record is from RNAcentral.